Molecule: long non-coding RNA, 740 nt
Organism: Aethalodelphis obliquidens (Pacific white-sided dolphin)
Lineage: Eukaryota; Metazoa; Chordata; Mammalia; Artiodactyla; Delphinidae
Exons: 2
Source: RefSeq, a predicted model, not a curated record
GCUCAAACCCGUGUCCCCUGCAUUGGCAGGCGGAUUCUUAACCACUGCGCCACCAGGGAAGUCGCCAACUAAUUCUUUUCAAAAGAUGAGAAUGAGUGAGGAAGACCAGAGUGGAAGCUGUUCAUACUCUAGAUGAGAGUUGGAGAUGGACUGGGGGUGGGGUUGGGGGUGGAGAUGGAGCAAACGGGUUAGUAUGUAGGCAGGUCAAAUUGCUGAGAGCCUGGAACUGAGUGGGAGGGAAGAGAGAAGAAUCAAGCAUCGCUCUCAGAUUUCUGGCUUGAGCAACUGGGUGAAUGAUGGUGCCAGUUACUAACAUGGGGGAGAAGUCUGGGGGCGGCACAGGUUUGGAAGUAAAAUUAAGAAUGGGGAAACUGAGGCAUGGCGAGGAGAUGGUGAAAAUGGGAUUCACACUUAGCUCUGCCUGUCUCAGAAGUCGAGCCUAAGAGCUGCCUCCCAAGGACAGGGAGCUCCUGGCUUUGGAUGGGUUCAGCCAUUUAGGGCUCUCCUGUGCACUGUAGGAUGUUUAGCUGCAUCCCUGGUCUACCCACUGGAUUCCUAUAGCAACUGUGACAAACAAAAAUGCUUCCAGAACUGGCACUGGGUUGUUCAAUGACUCAACUUACUUUUCUAUUAAUAAGCCUAAAAAUAAACUGCUGACUUGGAAAAUUAUUUUCAAAGACAUUUGAAAAUGAGGGUGGAGAAUAUCUAUGUGUUAAAAGUAAAAUUCAUUUAACCUCACA